AAACCAUCAAGCCCUGCUUGGUCUUGGACGCGGUCGAGUGACCCGUCCGUAACCCGUUGGCGGUGCAGUCCGGCUCCAAGCGUAGCAAGAAUUUCGCUUCGGGAGUCCGCGGCGGCGUCUGCCAGGAAACACCACCCAAA
This 140-nucleotide unclassified non-coding RNA is filed under the name uncultured Dothideomycetes. RNAcentral describes it as "sequence contains ITS2". The record is from RNAcentral. Lineage: Eukaryota; Fungi; Ascomycota; Dothideomycetes.